This 30-nucleotide transfer RNA is filed under the name Zootrophion atropurpureum. RNAcentral describes it as "partial tRNA-Gly". The record is from RNAcentral. Lineage: Eukaryota; Viridiplantae; Streptophyta; Magnoliopsida; Asparagales; Orchidaceae.
GCGGAUGCGGAUAUGUGUCAAAUGGUAAAA